This is a long non-coding RNA of Ailuropoda melanoleuca (giant panda), 765 nucleotides long. RefSeq lists it as uncharacterized. Lineage: Eukaryota; Metazoa; Chordata; Mammalia; Carnivora; Ursidae. The record is from RefSeq and is a predicted model, not a curated record. The transcript has 6 exons.
AUAGGAGGGCUGCACCAGCCCCAGCCCCAGCAGGGUCAGCAGCAAGAGCAGAAGCAGUGAACGGGUCCUGUGGAGAGCCAUCACUACCUUGGAGAUGCCUACACGGAAAUGCAAGGGGCAGGAGAAAGAAAGGUAUCAGACCACUGUGCUAGGUCCUGAACACAAAGACCAUCAAAACCACCAAAUGCCUCCCGAGAAGAGGUUGUAGCAUCCAUGGAGAAGGGAUGGGAGCUCCAAUUUCCUGAGAUGAGACGAAUGAAAUUGCAGAGAUAAGUUCGUGUGUAAGUUUAGUUGGUGGCAAAAGGCAUUAGCCGGAAGAAACAGCUAAGAGGUUGACUGAGAUGCAUCACUCCUUAAGGCUCAGCAGUAAAUAAAAUCCUAAAAAAAAAAAAGAAGGCCUGAGGUUUUGAGGAGGAAGAAAAGUGGGCAGCAUGGUGAACCUGAAAAAGACAAACUUCACUGGCUUUUCAGCUAUGUAGAUGCUGGAGAACUGAGUUCUAAAGAGCUCUAAGCCCGUCAUUUGGUGGGGAGGACACUGCCGGGCCCGUACAACACCCCUAAGGCUUCAGCAAUCACGGACGACAGAAGCAGCAGCCCACUCCCAGUCUGUGGGGAUCAAGAUGACUUGAUGGACACGAUCCUUCUCUGAUAAAUCACCUAAAGGAAGAGAUAAGCUUGGCACAAUGAAGUUUUGAUGAAAGAGAAGAUAAAGGUUUGGGGUAAAAAAAAGUUUGACUAUUUCAUUAAAAUGCAUCUAAGUGCUUA